This 501-nucleotide ribosomal RNA is filed under the name uncultured archaeon. RNAcentral describes it as "bacterial SSU rRNA". It matches the Rfam family "Archaeal small subunit ribosomal RNA", at positions 93 to 593 of the family's 1478-position model. The record is from RNAcentral.
GUAACACGUAGUCAACAUGCCCAGGGGACGUGGAUAACCUCGGGAAACUGAGGAUAAACCGCGAUAGGUCACUACUUCUGGAAUGGGUAAUGACUCAAACCUAUAUGGCCCCUGGAUUGGACUGCGGCCGAUCAGGCUGUUGGUGAGGUAAUGGCCCACCAAACCUGUAACCGGUACGGGCUCUGAGAGGAGGAGCCCGAGAGAAUGGGCACUGAGACAAGGGCCCAGGCCCUAUGGGGCGCAGCAGGCGCGAAACCUCUGCAAUAGGCGAAAGCCUGACAGGGUUACUCUGAGUGAUUUCCGUUAAGGAGAUCUUUUGGCACCUCUAAAAAUGGUGCAGAAUAAGGGGUGGGCAAGUCUGGUGUCACCCGCCCGCGUAAAUCACCCCACCCCGAGUGGUCGGGACGUUUAUUGGGCCUAAAGCAUCCGUAGCCGGUUCUACAAGUCUUCCGUUAAAUCCAGCUGCUUAACAGAUGGCCCGCGGAAGAUACUAUAGUAGCU